GUAGAUGGUAACCGUAAGCUUUACCGCUUUCAGCGAUCAGGAAGCUCUGAUGAAGCUGCAUUUUUUGAUGGGCUGUUCCUUGCAAAGGACAGAGAGGUGGCAUGUUUUGUUGACCUCAUCCACAGUGCUGUAAAAAAUACUCAAGGGAGGGGCACAUGUGGUGCCUCACAGUGGACAGCCGCAAGGGAGACUUCCAGGAGGGCC
This is a long non-coding RNA of Hypomesus transpacificus, 204 nucleotides long. RefSeq lists it as uncharacterized. NCBI's taxonomy places the organism in Eukaryota, Metazoa, Chordata, Actinopteri, Osmeriformes, Osmeridae. The transcript has 3 exons. The record is from RefSeq and is a predicted model, not a curated record.